Molecule: unclassified non-coding RNA, 458 nt
Filed under: Hevea brasiliensis (rubber tree)
Lineage: Eukaryota; Viridiplantae; Streptophyta; Magnoliopsida; Malpighiales; Euphorbiaceae
Source: RNAcentral
CUGAGUUAUCGCGCUCUCUUCUAUAGGUUGCUAGCUCUUUGUUCUGUUCCCUAAGAAGGUCCUCCUUGGCCCAAGCAGCUUCAUUGUCGAUUUUCACGGCUCUUAGCUCCCUAUCCUUCUCAUCUAGCUUCGCCCCCAUAUCCCGUAGUUGUCGCUCCCUCUCAUGUAGUUGUUCCUUCAGUGCCGCAGCCGCAUCAGCAUGCUCCUUCACCCGAGCCUCGUACUCAUUCUGCAUCCCCGCAAACUCCGAUCGCGCCAUAGCAUGCGCCCUCAGCCCCACCUCCAUCUGAUGCAACUCCUGCUGCUGCCGUGCAAUCUCCUGGAGCCGCUCCCUCAGCAUGUCGUCCCCUCCGUCGAUCGUAAUCGAGCAGUAAUCGACCUGCAGCGGCCCUGCUCCCUCCUCGUAGAUUGUGCGCUCGUCGGAGUGGCCGUGCUUGCCGUGGUCCGGCUCCUGGGGG